Long non-coding RNA from Danio aesculapii, 897 nucleotides. RefSeq lists it as uncharacterized. The transcript is spliced from 7 exons. The record is from RefSeq and is a predicted model, not a curated record. NCBI's taxonomy places the organism in Eukaryota, Metazoa, Chordata, Actinopteri, Cypriniformes, Danionidae.
GUUUGCAGAGUCGAAGCAGGAAUGGGGAGCAAAAGAAACUAUCAGCGAAAAUACUGCUUCUUGGUGAUGUGUACAAAGAUUUAAUUGUGAAAAGAGAUGCUUUCAAGAAAGAAGAAAACAUCUGGAUGACCAGUAAAGGAACAGCAAGAAAAUAAAAAAAAGUCUGAAGCUGUUAAGGUUGCAAGUACUUCUCAAAGUUCAGCUAUAUUUGCAAUGGGGAAACAAGUUAAAAGAGACCUCAAGAAGCUACAAAGAAGAAAAAACAGUUCCUGUAACCUCUACUCCAUUGUCUGAUGAUUCAGAUAAUACUGAGAUUGACUUGUUUAAAAACACAGAGUUGAGAAGAUCAAGGAAGAGAAAUGCGGCAUUGGAUAGUGACAACAAACAAGAAGAUGAUGGAGACAAUGAAUUGGAGAACAGCUUUUUGCAGAGACAAUCUCCCCAGAAAACUUCUGUUGAGCUUGAUGACGAUGUAGUCAAAGCUUUGAAAGACCUUCCUGGAAUUGUAAAUUCUCUCAAAGAUGUAUUGGAGGGCAUGAGAAGAAACUCAUCUUACAGCUCAAGUUCAAGCCUGAGUUCCAGUGAAUUGUGUUCUUCUGCAUCAUCAGAAAGGAUGGUGCUUGCUGAUUCGGAUAUUACAGUGUCAAAGAGGAUGUAUGAGAGACUGAAUAAAUCAAGAGUUUCACUUUUCACCCAAGAACUGGCCACAUUCAUCUUUGGUAAAGAAACUCUUGCAAGAUGUACUCUUACAGGAAAAUCUGGCAAUGAAACCUGUAAGGACCAGUUGGACCCUCACAAGGUCAAUGUGCUCAUAGACACCGUAAAAAAACAAACAAACAAACACCACAGGGUCUCAGGUGCGAUCUGUCAUCUGCAGUAAAUGCAACAAGGCUUACU